CCCAGCACGCAUUGCGCCACGCAAUCUUCAACUGUUGCCGUAAUUAGUACGUUUAUCUUAUUGUAACGUGAAUGGUGCGUUUAUGCUACCCACGGUUUGUCGAAGGUGCGACUUAUUGAGCUGUCGGGUUACAUUUAUGUCGAGCGUUGUUUUCAUGGAACCCGGACUGCGGGUGUUCGAGUGACGUCCCGGUCCCUUUCAGCCAUAUCCUGAAGGUCGAAUACUGUUUUCACAGCCGCAUUCUGCUAUUUCGCAGUAUAAUCCACCUUUCUUUCUUUCUUUCCGCCCGUAAGCUUGCUGUCUCGGCUCCAAAACAAGCGAGCCAGCGAAGGCGUCGACCGACCUCGUCCUCACAAAGUCGACUUUUUCUUGAAAAGUCGACUUGAAUGUGAAUUUGUAUUCAUGUCCCACGUCCGUCGUCCUUUGUUAGCUAUUGUGCAUAUCUACUUAGCGCAACCAAUCAGAGGUCAGAAAAAUGCCGACGUCACUGUGAGCCGGCGAGCAGGCCUCGCUUGAAUAUAAAAUGUUCUGUCUACGUCCACGACAGACCAAAGCCCCUGAAAGAAGAAACAAAGUUCAGAUCUUGAAUCUUAGAUUUGAUCUCUUGGCGAGUGGAACGAGUUUUCACCGACCGUGGCUCUUUUUCCAACCGAUCUGCAAAUGAAGCGAAGCAGCCGCCUGAAAACGUCCGGCCGACGGACCGCUCCUAUCUCGCUUUUCCCAUGCCUCUCGCUCUCUCUCGAUGUCGCUGGCGCAGUUUGUGCCGGGCCGUGACGUCACUAAGGUGACGCCGAGAGGAGGAGGACGGCCUUGCGACAGAGGUAGAAUUGAGAUAGAAGUACUACAGAGCGGAGACAGUUGAAUAGAACAGCCUUUAUCUGCACUUUUUGUGUCGCGCUAACCCAUUUUCGACUGAUAGCGCCGAUAUAUUUCAGCGGGGAAUAUCCAGGCUUGUUGUUGUUGUUGUGCGCCUGUGAAUCGGGAAAAAAAAAUCAGAAAAUGAACUUCACCCGGCGCGAGAGGGAAGGAAGUCAGAAAGGAGGCUUGGCAAAUGAGCGAGUUGUUCAUCGUUAAGACUUUAUAGUGACUCUACUGUACAGUGAAGAGGAGGAGGAGGAGGAGGAGGAGUGACAAUCUGGCUCCGUGGUGUACGUUUGCAUAAAAAUUCAGAGCAGCAACACAACAACUCACAGUUCAAAGGUUAGCAACAAAAGCGCACAACACAUGGAUUACAUCGCCACCAACCACGAGUGUGUGUGUGUGUGUGUGUGGCACUUCUCUGUUGUGUUAGUGGUGUGCACGCUCGUACAUCGUGUGUUUGGGCGGGUGUGUUUUUCACUAAUUGCACUUGAGGAUGAGGGAACGAGAAUCGCACGGCCACGAUUAGAUUUUCUCUGCUUCUUCUUUGUGCAUUAUUAAUGUGAUGGAAAUCUUUCAGACUUUUCACAACACAAACGUCAAAAGAAACAAAAAAAAUGUACAAAACUUGCGCUCAAGCCAACCAGCUCAGGAAGGACGACGACUCCCAUGAUGCCUUGAUGCAAGAGGGUUCUGUGUGGCCCCAAAACGUCUUGUUCCUCUUCUGGUUUUGCGAGCGACGGCGACUUUGGCUGUGACGAGCCGACGUACGCGCAUCGCGAUUUGAUCCUGACGUGUGAACACUCAGCAAGUUCUCGAGGCUCCUUCGUUUUGCCGUCACUCCCGACAGCCGAGCGGACAUCCGGGCGGACUCCGUAUGGCGGAUCCAUUGCGACGAAUGUCUGCAGGUGGAUGUCUCUGGAUUUCUCUUGAAGGAUUCCUUCAUGUGGAUGUCUGCGGUUGGAUGACCCGGGCGCAGCUCAGCAGGUGGAUGACUCCAAAUUCAUUUGUCCGCGUCGAAGUCGCCGAACGAUGAAGACAGGCCGAUUUCUCCAGGUGGAUUUCUUUGAAGGACUUGCGCAGGUGGAUUCUUCGUCUGCGGGUAGAUGACUCCGGAUCGGUUUCUCCGGGUGGACGACGCGGAGUCGAUUUUUCCUGGUGCAUUUCUGUUGGAGGAUUCCAACAGGUGAAUUCUUCAGGAUGGAUGACUCCGAGUGGACUUCUCCAAGUGAAAUUGUUUCGAUGCAAGUGUCCGAGCGGAGAGGUGGAUGUCUUCAAGGGGAUUUCACCCGGUGGAAAUGUGGAUGUCAGCCUGACAGCUCAGCAGAUGUUCACGUGGAACUGUCCGGGUGGAUUCCUGCGGGUGGCUUUACAAAUGUCAGUCUGAAGGCCUCCAGUGGGUAAGAACACAGUGAGGAAGGACAACUAAGAACACUAGAAAAUAAACACCUGAUUGACAGUGUGGCAGAGGAGGAACAACAACAACAACAACAACAACAAAAACUGUGGUGAGGGAGGUGGGUUUUUUUGUUUUUUUCUUAGAAGAACUUGUCGUCGAUGCGGAAGUGCGGCCGCGUGACAUCGUCCGGGUUGAUGAAGACCGAAAUGGACUUCCCGGGGUUCUCCGUGACCAGCUGCUGGAGCUUCUUGGCCAGGCGGUCGUCCGGCUGGUUCUCCCCGCCGGCGUCCGACUGCGGCGACGGCAGGUUGCCGGUGCUGCCGCGCCACUGCAGCUCCACCGUCAGCCUGUUGGCGGCCUUGGCGUGCUCGAUGGUGGUGCGCAGGUGCUCGGCCGGGUCGGAGCGCACCGACGAGAGCUUGCGGGCGUGCAGCACGGCGGCGGCGUCCGACAGGUGCUCCAGCAUGUUGCACUGCGGGAUGAAAUAGUUGGGGCAGGUCUUGUUGACCAGGCAGUGCUGCAGGUCGUCUAUCAGGCCCAGCAGGAAGUGGGCGGAGAAGUCGUCGUGCGCCAGGUAGUUGGCGGGCAGCCGGUCGCAGGCCCACAGCAUGACGCUGCGCAGGUGGUAGGGGCUCACCGCCUUGGGCCGCGACAGCAGCUUGACGAUGAUGGCCUUGCACGCCUGGUAGGCCUGCAUGAGGCCGGGCGAGAUGCACUUCUUCAGCUGCACCUCGCUGCGGGCGAACGACAGCCGCCACUCGUUCUCUCUCCGGCCCUUGUGCGAGCAGGCGGGCACCAGGUAGAAGCCGCUGAUCACUUCCUCCUCCGUGAUCUUGCCGUCCCAGAAGUGGUUCUCCAUCAGCCAGCUCUGCGCCACGGCCGGCCAGCCCUUGAAGGACACUACGGGCACGACGUCGUAGAGCAUUCGGCUGCUGCCCACGCCCAAGAUGACCGACACCACGGUGCCGUUGCGCUCCACCUUCUCCACGCGGGGAACGCCCCUCUGCGGCUUCUUUUGGACCUGCGUGGGCGGAAGUACUUCGUGACAAUUGGCGCUGCAAAUCGGAAGUGCACCUCAAAGACCUCCAGUAGCACCAGUGAGACGGCCUGGUAGAACCAGUCUGCCACCAGCGUGGGCGAGAAGAAGUAGUUUGCGGCUCCGCUGAUGUGCUCCACCACCGUGCAGCAGUCCUUCCACUUGCUGAUGGUGCCCUCGUCGAAGAGGCGCAGACUGAGCCAGGAAUGUCCCAGCGCCGAGUGCCUCAUGUCCAGCGUGACCGGCUGGUUGCGGUCGUGCAGCUUGAGCGCCGGGACCAGCAGCGUGAAGUCCAUGUCGUAGUCGGCGCCGCGCGCGUACACGCUCAGCUCGUCCGUAUCCAUGUCCACCACGCCCUCGCGCACGCCGCCCGACAGCAACAGGUACUCGUUGGCCACCGGCAGCUUCUGGUCCAGCUUCUGGACCAUUCCUGGAGGACCCGGCGGCACAAACGCAACAAACGUUUCGAUAAAAGAAAAUAAGUGAUCCCCCGCUAUUCGCGGGGCGUAGGGACCGACCACUGGCGCAAAUGGCGAAAGCCGCGACUAACUGAUGCCCGCCUUCCUUCAAGGGUUUCGUAAUUGCGUAUAGAUCCCACAAGAUGGAAGUAAAGCGCUUCAAACAAAGAGAUGAUGCAAAAUAAAAAGCAUGCACGUAACAUGUACACAAGCAUGAAGACGUGUUACAUAAGUGUGUGAAAUGGGUCCAUUUCUCUACACAAACAAUCGGAUGGGACCGCAAAACA
Long non-coding RNA from Phycodurus eques (leafy seadragon), 4038 nucleotides. RefSeq lists it as uncharacterized. The transcript has 4 exons. The record is from RefSeq and is a predicted model, not a curated record. Lineage: Eukaryota; Metazoa; Chordata; Actinopteri; Syngnathiformes; Syngnathidae.